Small nuclear RNA from Danio aesculapii, 116 nucleotides. RefSeq annotates it as U5 spliceosomal RNA. The record is from RefSeq and is a predicted model, not a curated record. Lineage: Eukaryota; Metazoa; Chordata; Actinopteri; Cypriniformes; Danionidae. The transcript has a single exon.
CACUCAUGUUUUUCCUUCAUAGCGUACAAAUCUUUCGCCUUUUACUAAAGAUUUCCGUGGAGAGGAACACCAUGAGUUUUGACGAAUUUUUUGAUACUCCGCUAAAAAGUGAGGUU